AGUGAACGCUGGCGGUAUGCCUAACACAUGCAAGUCGAACGGCAGCACAGUAAGAGCUUGCUCUUACGGGUGGCGAGUGGCGGACGGGUGAGGAAUACAUCGGAAUCUACUUUUUCGUGGAGGAUAACGUAGGGAAACUUACGCUAAUACCGCAUACGACCUACGGGUGAAAGCAGUGGAUCUUCGGACCUUUCGCGAUUGAAUGAGCCGAUGUCGGAUUAGCUAGUUGGCGGGGUAAAGGCCCACCAAGGCGACGAUCCGUAGCUGGUCUGAGAGGAUGAUCAGCCACACUGGAACUGAGACACGGUCCAGACUCCUACGGGAGGCAGCAGUGGGGAAUAUUGGACAAUGGGCGCAAGCCUGAUCCAGCCAUACCGCGUGGGUGAUGAAGGCCUUCGGGUUGUAAAGCCCUUUUGUUGGGAAAGAAAAGCAGCGGAUUAAUACCCCGCUGUUUUGACGGUACCCAAAGAAUAAGCACCGGCUAACUACGUG
This 492-nucleotide ribosomal RNA is filed under the name uncultured bacterium. RNAcentral's name for it is "partial 16S ribosomal RNA". It matches the Rfam family "Bacterial small subunit ribosomal RNA", at positions 29 to 507 of the family's 1533-position model. The record is from RNAcentral.